This 765-nucleotide ribosomal RNA is filed under the name uncultured marine group III euryarchaeote. Its description in RNAcentral is "bacterial SSU rRNA". It matches the Rfam family "Archaeal small subunit ribosomal RNA", at positions 1 to 770 of the family's 1478-position model. Lineage: Archaea; Methanobacteriati; Thermoplasmatota; Thermoplasmata; Candidatus Thermoprofundales. The record is from RNAcentral.
UUCUGGUUGAUCCUGCCGAAGGCUACUGCUAUUGGAGUUCGAUUAAGCCAUGCGAGUCUAAGGGAUCUUCGGAUCCCUGGCGUAAUGCUCAGUAACACGUGGAUAAUCUACCCUCAGGUGGGGCAUAAACCCGGGAAACUGGGGCCAAUUCCCCAUAAAUACAGAUGGCUGGAAUGCUUCUGUAUUCAAAGCUCCGGCGCCUGAGGAUGAGUCUGCGGCCUAUCAGGUUGUAGUCAGGGUCAAGACCUGACUAGCCAGCGACGGGUAUGGGGUGUGAGAGCACUUGCCCAGAGAUGGUUUCUGAGACACGAAACCAGGCCCUACGGGGCGCAGCAGGCGCGAAAACUUCGCAAUGCGGGAAACCGUGACGAGGGAACUCCGAGUGUCUAUGCAUUGCAUAGACUGUUUUUUAGCCUAAAUAGCUAUUAGAGUAAGGGGUGGGCAAGACCGGUGCCAGCCGCCGCGGUAACACCGGCACCCCGAGUGGUAGCCACUAUUAUUGGGCCUAAAGCGUUCGUAGCCGGUUUGGUAAAUUCUUGGGUAAAUCGUACCGCUCAACGGUGCGGAUUCCGGGGACACUACCAGACUUGAGACCGGGGGAGAUCAGAGGUACUUGCGGGGGAGCGGUGAAAUGUUGUAAUCCCGCAGGGACCACCAGUGGCGAAGGCGUCUGAUCAGAACGGCUCUGACGGUGAGGAACGAAACCCUGGGGCGCAAACGGGAUUAGAUACCCCGGUAGUCCAGGGCGUAAACGCUGCUGACUUG